AAUGUGUCUCUAUGAAUUCAUCCUUCAUGAAUGAACAUCACUAAAUCUUCCUGCUCGUCGUCCGCCAUGUUUGUUUACACUAAAGUCAUGUUUUUUUUAGUUUGGACUCUUGUUGUUGAUGAA
Molecule: long non-coding RNA, 123 nt
Organism: Sebastes umbrosus (honeycomb rockfish)
Lineage: Eukaryota; Metazoa; Chordata; Actinopteri; Perciformes; Sebastidae
Exons: 3
Source: RefSeq, a predicted model, not a curated record